GAUGAACGCUGGCGGCGUGCCUAAUACAUGCAAGUCGAGCGAACACACGAUGAGCUUUCUCUUCUUACGUUUGCGGCUGACGGGUGAGUAACACGUGUAUAACCUUCUUAUUUUUCUUGGAUAAUUUCGUGAAGCCGCAUCUACUACUGGCUAAUAUAUUGUACCGCAUUGUUCAAUAGUUCUUCACGGUUUUUCUGUCUCUUUUAGAUGUUUUCGGGUUGGAUUAGUUAGUUGGUAAGGUAACGGCUUACCAAGGCUACGAUGCGUAGCUGACCUGAGAGGGUGAUCAGCCACACUGGAACUGAGACACGGUCCAGACUCCUACGGGAGGCAGCAGUAGGGAAUAUUGGACAAUGGGCGAAAGCCUGACGGAGCAACGCCGCGUGAGUGAAGAAGGUCUUCGGAUUGUAAAACUCUGUUAUUAGGGAAGAAAAAAAGUGUAAGAAAAUAUGGACGUCUUGACGGUACCUAAAGAAAAAGCAACGGCUAACUACGUG
This 497-nucleotide ribosomal RNA is filed under the name uncultured bacterium. Its description in RNAcentral is "partial 16S ribosomal RNA". It matches the Rfam family "Bacterial small subunit ribosomal RNA", at positions 28 to 507 of the family's 1533-position model. The record is from RNAcentral.